UGUCAAGGGAUGAGAAUCGAACCCACGACCUUCCGCUUACCGGGCAGAUGCCAUGACCACUAGGCUACCCUGGAC
This 75-nucleotide transfer RNA is filed under the name Cordylochernes scorpioides. Its description in RNAcentral is "tRNA-Thr". The record is from RNAcentral. Lineage: Eukaryota; Metazoa; Arthropoda; Arachnida; Pseudoscorpiones; Chernetidae.